Molecule: unclassified non-coding RNA, 274 nt
Filed under: Hevea brasiliensis (rubber tree)
Lineage: Eukaryota; Viridiplantae; Streptophyta; Magnoliopsida; Malpighiales; Euphorbiaceae
Source: RNAcentral
UUCACACUAAAGGUUCGAUUUUUAGGCCUGAUUGGUGAUUUUAUACACAGAAAACGAUCACCCAACACAUUUCUUCUACUGGGUAUGAUGGGAAAAACAGUAGAAUUUGUUGAUACAUGGACUAAAGCAUUUCCAGACAUCAUCUAGUUUUCUUUUCUUGUCUUUCCAAAAUUAUACACUUUUUCUUGUUCUAUAGAUAAAAAUUGAGCUGGAGAAAUUGAAAAUCGAGAUUGAAGAUCAACAAAAUGGAAGCAUAUAGGAAGGUUCAAGCUGG